UGAGUGGUUGGAUGUGGGGGUUUGCUGGCUUCUUAAAAGGGUUCAGCUCCUCUGAAAUGCAUUAGCAGAACAACCUGUUCAUUGGUGUGAUAACUAUCUACGCUAUUGAAUAUCAGGGGCAGUUCAGCUUUCUAACAGUCCUUGGACAAUUUUAUCAUUUAUGUGACCUCAAAUCAGGUAGGACUACCCGCUGAACUUAA
Molecule: unclassified non-coding RNA, 200 nt
Filed under: soil metagenome
Description: partial contains internal transcribed spacer 2 and large subunit ribosomal RNA
Source: RNAcentral